CACCUCUAGAAGCUAGAAGAAAGGGAUGUGUUUCUCAGCUAUGUUAGGGCAGAGGAUUCUGGGAGCAAGGAGUUGGGCUUGCAGGCCUGUGUUCUUCCCUGGCCACACCCUCUACAUCUUCCCAAUAAAUGGCCCAGUGUCACAGAACAGGCAGGAAAUGAGGCCCCAACUCAGUCUGCUUCCUGAGUUGGGGGUGGUGAAGGGCAAGGUCCAGCCUUAUGAUUCCCACUCCCCAGGGCCAGCCAAGUCUCGGGAUGGUGAACGUACCGUCUAUUGCAACGUACACAAGCAUGAACCCCUUGUGCUGUUUUGUGAGAGCUGUGAUACUCUCACCUGCCGAGACUGCCAGCUCAAUGCCCACAAGGACCACCAGUACCAGUUCUUAGAGGAUGCAGUGAGGAACCAGCGCAAGCUCCUGGCCUCACUGGUGAAGCGCCUUGGGGACAAACAUGCAACAUUGCAGAAGAGCACCAAGGAGGUUCGCAGCUCGUGUCCGACGUACAGAAGCGUGUGCAAGUGGAUGUCAAGAUGGCCAUCCUGCAGAUCAUGAAGGAGCUGAAUAAGCGGGGCCGUGUGCUGGUCAACGAUGCCCAGAAGGUGACUGAGGGGCAGCAGGAGCGCCUGGAGCGGCAGCACUGGACCAUGACCAAGAUCCAGAAGCACCAGGAGCACAUUCUGCGCUUUGCCUCUUGGGCUUUGGAGAGUGACAACAACACAGCCCUUCUGCUUUCUA
This 733-nucleotide small RNA is filed under the name Pongo abelii (Sumatran orangutan). RNAcentral's name for it is "retained intron". Lineage: Eukaryota; Metazoa; Chordata; Mammalia; Primates; Hominidae. The record is from RNAcentral.